UGGGAUAAGAAGUGGCAGAAGACAAAUGC
RNAcentral lists this non-coding RNA (29 nucleotides) under Mus musculus (house mouse). Lineage: Eukaryota; Metazoa; Chordata; Mammalia; Rodentia; Muridae. The record is from RNAcentral.